UAAAGAUUCAUCGCUGAUAGAUAGGCAUGCGUUCCAUUAGGCAGUUGGCGGGGUAACGGCCCACCAAACCGACGAUGGAUAGGGGUUCUGAGAGGAAGGUCCCCCACAUUGGUACUGAGACACGGACCAAACUCCUACGGGAGGCAGCAGUGAGGAAUAUUGGUCAAUGGGCGUAAGCCUGAACCAGCCAAGUCGCGUGGGGGAUGAAGGUUCUAUGGAUCGUAAACCUCUUUUAUAAGGGAAUAAAGUGCGGGACGUGUCCCGUUUUGUAUGUACCUUAUGAAUAAGGAUCGGCUAACUCCGUGCCAGCAGCCGCGGUAAUACGGAGGAUCCGAGCGUUAUCCGGAUUUAUUGGGUUUAAAGGGUGCGUAGGCGGCCUUUUAAGUCAGCGGUGAAAGUCUGUGGCUCAACCAUAGAAUUGCCGUUGAAACUGGGAGGCUUGAGUAUGUUUGAGGCAGGCGGAAUGCGUGGUGUAGCGGUGAAAUGCUUAGAUAUCACGCAGAACCCCGAUUGCGAAGGCAGCCUGCCAAGCCAUGACUGACGCUGAUGCACGAAAGCGUGGGGAUCAAACAGGAUUAGAUACCCUGGUAGUCCACGCAGUAAACGAUGAUCACUAGCUGUUUGCGAUACACAGUAA
RNAcentral lists this ribosomal RNA (637 nucleotides) under uncultured bacterium. Its description in RNAcentral is "bacterial SSU rRNA". It matches the Rfam family "Bacterial small subunit ribosomal RNA", at positions 202 to 842 of the family's 1533-position model. The record is from RNAcentral.